Molecule: ribosomal RNA, 119 nt
Filed under: Zea mays
Lineage: Eukaryota; Viridiplantae; Streptophyta; Magnoliopsida; Poales; Poaceae
Source: RNAcentral
GGAUUCGAUCAUACUAGCACUAAAGCACCGGAUUCCAUUAGAACUCUGAAGUUAAGUGUGCUUGGGCGAGAGUAGUACUAGGAUGGGUGACCUCCUGGGAAGUCCUCAUGUUGCAUUCC